This 445-nucleotide ribosomal RNA is filed under the name uncultured organism. Its description in RNAcentral is "partial 16S ribosomal RNA". It matches the Rfam family "Bacterial small subunit ribosomal RNA", at positions 335 to 797 of the family's 1533-position model. The record is from RNAcentral.
ACUCCUGCGGGAGGCAGCAGUGGGGAAUAUUGGACAAUGGGCGCAAGCCUGAUCCAGCCAUGCCGCGUGAGUGAUGAAGGCCCUAGGGUUGUAAAGCUCUUUCACCGGUGAAGAUAAUGACGGUAACCGGAGAAGAAGCCCCGGCUAGCUUCGUGCCAGCAGCCGCGGUAAUACGAAGGGGGCUAGCGUUGUUCGGAUUUACUGGGCGUAAAGCGCACGUAGGCGGACUAUUAAGUCAGGGGUGAAAUCCCGGGGCUCAACCCCGGAACUGCCUUUGAUACUGGUAGUCUUGAGUUCGAGAGAGGUGAGUGGAAUUCCGAGUGUAGAGGUGAAAUUCGUAGAUAUUCGGAGGAACACCAGUGGCGAAGGCGGCUCACUGGCUCGAUACUGACGCUGAGGUGCGAAAGCGUGGGGAGCAAACAGGAUUAGAAACCCGGGUAGUCCC